UUUACUAUGAUGUUAAGUUACUGCCCCAGUCUGAGUAUUAUGUGAAUGAUUCAGUUUUUCCUGAGAUAGA
RNAcentral lists this small nucleolar RNA (70 nucleotides) under Dufourea novaeangliae. The record is from RNAcentral. Lineage: Eukaryota; Metazoa; Arthropoda; Insecta; Hymenoptera; Halictidae.